This is a long non-coding RNA of Oryctolagus cuniculus (rabbit), 76 nucleotides long. It matches the Rfam family "ZNRD1 antisense RNA 1 conserved region 2". The record is from Rfam. Lineage: Eukaryota; Metazoa; Chordata; Mammalia; Lagomorpha; Leporidae.
CGAGAUCUUUUUCUCCAGUGGAGACUGUUGACCUACAGCAACCCUAGGGUCCUUAGACGAUUUCGCCCAGGCCAAU